AACCUAGCACACCUGCGGUGUGUACCUGCGGAGGGAUCAUUAAAAAUCCUGUCGGACGGGGCAACCCUGAAGGCAUUUUAAUAACCUUUCAACUCUUGUGAACUCGUUUGCCUCUUCCGCAAGGGAGACGGCAUGCUACCUACAAACAUAACUGUAAUGAAUGUAAACCAAACAUAACAAAUACAACUUUCAACAAUGGAUCU
RNAcentral lists this unclassified non-coding RNA (203 nucleotides) under soil metagenome. Its description in RNAcentral is "partial contains 5.8S ribosomal RNA, internal transcribed spacer 2, and large subunit ribosomal RNA". The record is from RNAcentral.